CACCUUCAGAGUUCUGCAGUCUCUCUAUAUCGAACAUACAAAAAACCAAGUUGAAAUAAACAGGAGAUGGGUAACUGUGGAGGCUUUAAACUGUCUGUACCAUCAUGAGAGAGCCUGAAAAUAAAAUAAAGCACAGCAAGAUUGAUGAUUUUUGUAAUUCUCCCAGCAUACUUCUCCCUUCUUCUGCAUUAUUUGCAAAGUUCUUUUAUCUCUAAACAUACCAAUAAUUAAAUUAUGUUCAUCUGACCCUGAAUACUGUAACUGGGUAAAAAGAACUCCAUGUU
Molecule: long non-coding RNA, 284 nt
Organism: Empidonax traillii (willow flycatcher)
Lineage: Eukaryota; Metazoa; Chordata; Aves; Passeriformes; Tyrannidae
Exons: 3
Source: RefSeq, a predicted model, not a curated record